GACGAACGCUGGCGGCGUGCUUAACACAUGCAAGUCGAACGGAAAGGCCCUGCUUUUGUGGGGUGCUCGAGUGGCGAACGGGUGAGUAACACGUGAGUAACCUGCCCUUGACUUUGGGAUAACUUCAGGAAACUGGGGCUAAUACCGGAUAGGAGCUCCUGCUGCAUGGUGGGGGUUGGAAAGUUUCGGCGGUUGGGGAUGGACUCGCGGCUUAUCAGCUUGUUGGUGGGGUAGUGGCUUACCAAGGCUUUGACGGGUAGCCGGCCUGAGAGGGUGACCGGCCACAUGGGGACUGAGAUACGGCCCAGACUCCUACGGGAGGCAGCAGUGGGGAAUAUUGCACAAUGGGCGGAAGCCUGAUGCAGCAACGCCGCGUGCGGGAUGACGGCCUUCGGGUUGUAAACCGCUUUCGCCUGUGACGAAGCGUGGGUGACGGUAAUGGGUAAAGAAGCACCGGCUAACUACGUG
Molecule: ribosomal RNA, 468 nt
Filed under: uncultured bacterium
Lineage: Bacteria
Description: partial 16S ribosomal RNA
Rfam family: Bacterial small subunit ribosomal RNA
Source: RNAcentral